Molecule: long non-coding RNA, 1232 nt
Organism: Cyprinus carpio (common carp)
Lineage: Eukaryota; Metazoa; Chordata; Actinopteri; Cypriniformes; Cyprinidae
Source: Ensembl
CAAUAAUAAUAAUUAAAUGAACAUCACAGUAAUGGAACUGAAUAUUAUAACAUCUUAAAAUAUUAAACUGUAACAGAUUAUAAUGUGUGAACAUUUGAUCCCACAGUCUUUAACUUACAUAGAAACACACAAACACAUUAAGGAUGACUGUGGUGCACAAUAGGGUCAGACACACUGAGGUCACAUACACACACACACACACACGUUCAGCUGCUGUCUCUCAGGCUGUGGCAUGUCCACACGUAUCUCGCAGCCAGUGCUGCUGUGUGUCCCUCUCCUAAUAGUAUCUUAAUUUGUUCUGUUUCACUAAUAGCUGUAAAGUUCUUUAUUAAGUUGGUGAAUCUGUUGAAGUAGAGGUCUCUUAUGGACAUGUAUUUCUGACAGUGAAGGAGGAAGUGUGUCUCUGUCUCGAUCUCUCCUGUCUGACAGUGAACACACACUCUUUGCUCUCUGGGUAACCAGCUCUUUCUGUGUCUGCCCGUCUCGAUGGCUAGACUGUGUUCACUGAGCCUGUACUUGCUCAGGAUCCGUCUCUGCUUUGUGUCUCUGACACUCUGGAGAUAAUCUUCACAUUCAUAAUCUGAUUUUAGAGUUCGAUAGAAUUGUAAUUUACUUUGUGUUUUAGUUUCUUGAUCCCAAUGUUCCAGAUAUGUAUUUUUAGAUUGUUUGAUAAUUUGUUUUAUUUCGAUGUUUGGGUGAGAAGCAGUGCUGGUUUGAGACUGGUUAGUGUUAGUAGAGUUAGUCAGGUUAGUAAGUCUCAGAACUAGCUGACUGAGUGGACUCUUUUCAGGGUUCUGUUCUAGUCUGUCUGUCUAUCUAUCUAUCUGUCUGUCUAUGUGUUUGUCUAUCUGUCUGUCUCUCUGUCUGUCUGUCUAUCUAUCUAUCUAUCUGUGUGUUUGUCUAUCUGUCUGUCUGUCUGUCUAUCUGUCUGUUUUAAAUUGUAGUCCUUUUUUGCCAUUAUAGACAAAAUGUGGGCAUUAAUUGAAUGGACAGAAAUGGAAGCCUCUCUGGACAUUGUAAAGAGAAAAGACAUUCUUCAACUUGUAGUUCAUGAGGGGGAUGUUGUUGAUGUAAAGUAUGAGGAUAAAAGCUCUCCUGCACUUAUUCUCAAUGCAUGCAUGAAAAUAAAGACAAGCUGCUGAAGCGUCUAAAUCGGAUGGAGUCAGAGAGAAGGCAAAAAGAGGAGUGCAAGCUGCCUGAAAAGAGAGCAAUAAAAAGGAAAAUAAUAUUCA